CUUGUGGCUAUCUCAGCAGCCAUUACAUGGAGCCAGUCCUGAAAGCAGACAUUUUUCCCUAUUUUAUAAUAGGAGCGUUCAUUUAUGCUGAGAAUACAAUUUUUACCAGACUGCCUGCAGGACAGUACAAUAAAAGAUUUAUCCUUAAUAGCAUUUCACUGAAGUUUCACCACAGGAGACAGGUUUUUUGUUGUGUGUGUGUGUUUUUUUUUUUUUAAUUUUAUUUUUUAUUUUAUUUUCCUCUUCAGUUGCUAUGAAAGUCUAUGCUCAUAGCUUUUUUACAGAACAUAAUCCCUAGAUCUCCUCCGCCACCUUCUCUCAACUGAUUAUUUUUUUCUUUUCCCUUCAGUGCUUUCUCCUCUCUGACAUGCUUCUCUCCUUUUUGUUUUAGUUUCUUCUGUUGUAUGGUCAAAGGAAACCAGAAAAGUGACUGGUUACGAGCAUGGCUGCUGCUGAGGCCAAGGGGUACACACAUCUAUCUUCCUGCAUUUUUGAAGGAUGUUUUCCUGCUCCAGAAUCUAUCUCACCUUUUGUCCAGGUUAGGUGCAGACACUUAGCUGAACUUCUAGAGUUCGUCUCAAGCAUGUUUAGAGAGAGACAGCAGCCUGCAGAAGAAAGCCACAUGCCUCCAGGUGGGAUGGGAUGUUCGUGGGAAAUGUCUGUCUCUUCCCAUUAAGCUCAGCGAGCUUCUGUGAGUCACUAAGUGCCGAGUGGCCAAAUAGGAGGAACACAGUCCUGUCUGAGUGAUAUCACUGACAAACUGCCCGAAUAAGGGUCUGCUACCAGACUGCAGCUCUGUACCUUCCUUUAUGAGUCCUCUGGAGGUACAACGAUGCCUGAGGUGUAUGGCCUGCCUACUGCUUGGACAGAGGGAGGCUUGAGAUAAAAUCCUAGCUCAACCAGCCUUCCAUUAUCUGCCUCUUGUUCUUCUGCCACAAAAUAAGCAGAAUGGUACCUACCCUCUUCCUAAAUUGUUGCAGAACUCAGGGUUGCAAAAAGCUGCUCGAGCAGCAUGUCUCAUUGUUAAUUGUUAUCCCAAGCUUCCUCGGGUGCCUGACUACUUGAACAUCUAAGAAUUUACGGGCAUUUGGUAACGUCUGAAAAGGAAGAUUCUCUUUAAUACGCUUAUGAUAAGUAUUUGCACUAUUUUAGAAAGCUAUUUUCAUUCUACUCAGACACUCGUUAAAUAACUUUUUAGAACUUGAACAUUUACUGCUCAUUUUAUAUGUGAAAUAAAUCAAUCAGAUUUAACA
Molecule: long non-coding RNA, 1253 nt
Filed under: Anas platyrhynchos platyrhynchos (common mallard)
Lineage: Eukaryota; Metazoa; Chordata; Aves; Anseriformes; Anatidae
Description: lncRNA (ENSAPLG00000030040.1)
Source: RNAcentral